GUGAGGAAUAUUGGUCAAUGGGCGGAAGCCUGAACCAGCCAUGCCGCGUGCAGGAAGACGGCCCUACGGGUUGUAAACUGCUUUUCCGGGGGAAGAAUAAGGGCGAUGCGUCGCCCGAUGCCGGUACCCCGGGAAUAAGGAUCGGCUAACUCCGUGCCAGCAGCCGCGGUAAUACGGAGGAUCCGAGCGUUAUCCGGAUUUACUGGGUUUAAAGGGUGCGUAGGCGGACGCCUAAGUCAGCGGUGAAAUGCGGGGGCUCAACCUUCGAACCGCCGUUGAUACUGGGCGUCUUGGAUUCGGUCGAGGCGGGCGGAAUGCGACAUGUAGCGGUGAAAUGCUUAGAUAUGUCGCAGAACGCCGAUUGCGAAGGCAGCUCGCCGGGCCGACAUCGACGCUGAGGCACGAAAGCGUGGGGAUCGAACAGGAUUAGAUACCCUAGUAGUCC
Molecule: ribosomal RNA, 445 nt
Filed under: uncultured bacterium
Lineage: Bacteria
Description: bacterial SSU rRNA
Rfam family: Bacterial small subunit ribosomal RNA
Source: RNAcentral